UGCCAGCAGCAGCGGUAAUACGGAGGGUGAAAGCGUUAAUCGGAAUUCCUGGGCGUAAAGCGCGCGUAGGCGGUUAUGUAAGUCGGAUGUGAAAGCCCUGGGCUUAACCUGGGAAUUGCAUUCGAUACUGCGUGACUAGAGUAUGGUAGAGGGUAGUGGAAUUCCUGGUGUAGCGGUGAAAUGCGUAGAUAUCAGGAGGAACAUCAGUGGCGAAGGCGGCUACCUGGACCAAUACUGACGAUGAGGUGCGCAAGCGUGGGGUGCAAACAGGAUUAGAUA
RNAcentral lists this ribosomal RNA (279 nucleotides) under uncultured bacterium. Its description in RNAcentral is "partial 16S ribosomal RNA". It matches the Rfam family "Bacterial small subunit ribosomal RNA", at positions 506 to 784 of the family's 1533-position model. The record is from RNAcentral.